Molecule: long non-coding RNA, 880 nt
Filed under: Marmota monax (woodchuck)
Lineage: Eukaryota; Metazoa; Chordata; Mammalia; Rodentia; Sciuridae
Source: RNAcentral
CUUUGUUUUAUCUGACUUGGAAUUUAGUAGUGUUGAAUACUUUUUUUUUUUAAUGCUAUCAUCUCAUAUUUCUUUUUUUUUUUUAAAUUGAGGGGGUUGUAUCUUUGGUGGUAACAAUGUUAAUCUAAUGCUCACAAGAAUUUUGAAACACUGUAUAUCCACAAAAUUAUGCAGCUAUCAUCUCUGUCUUAAUUUCAGGACAUUUCAUUACUCCCACAGAAAACCCUGAACUCAUUAUCGAUCCUUUUAUAUUCAUCCUCCCUCCAGACAACCCUGAUCUACUUUUUGUGUCUAUGAUUUUAUUUAUUCUGAACUUUCAUUUAAGUGGAAUUAUAAAAUAUGUGCCUUUUAUGUCAGUUAUGGCAAAAUGAAGUCAUUACCCUAUGAUAUUUACCUAAGAAGUAAAGAUUCUCUUUCUAUAAACAGAAAAUAUUGAUAAAUGAUGGUUAUAGUUAAAUAAUCAUAAAUAGAAAUGAUUUAUUGUAUUUGCAUUUUGUAUUGUAUUUGUAUUUAUUGUACUUGUAUUUUGGAAACUUGGAAGUGUGAAAUGUUCUAGGCUUUGAUAGAAGUGAUAGAAAUGACAUGCACUUUAGGGGUAGCAUAGUUGGUACCUGUUCCUAGCCUUUUCUGAGUUGACCAAUGUCAGUGCUAAUUGGUUGCAUAAAAUGUGAUGUAGAACUAAACUAAUAAAAUCUGAUUGAGCUGAAUCCCUCUAUUUCUACCUUACCCAUUAUUGGGUUGAAUUCUCCAGGAAUGAAGAAUAAGCCUGAAAAGGAUCAGGCUUUUGCUUAUUGGGAACUUAACUGUUUUCCAGGGCAACUGAUUCUCAUGGAAAUGUAGAGAAACUGUAGAACCACAGCAGAUGGACAGCAUUGUAAAU